RNAcentral lists this ribosomal RNA (316 nucleotides) under uncultured bacterium. Its description in RNAcentral is "bacterial SSU rRNA". It matches the Rfam family "Bacterial small subunit ribosomal RNA", at positions 94 to 390 of the family's 1533-position model. The record is from RNAcentral.
AGCGGCGGACGGGUGAGUAAUACAUGGGUAAUCUUUGCUUGAGCUCGGGAUAACCCCGCGAAAGUGGGGCUAAUACCGGAUAAGACCACGUAACCCAGGUUACGUGGUAAAAGGUGGCUUAUUCUUUCGGGUUUAAGCUAUCACUUGGGAAUGAGCCCAUGGCCUAUCAGCUAGUUGGUGAGGUAAAGGCUCACCAAGGCUAUGACGGGUAGCUGGUCUAAGAGGACGGCCAGCCACACUGGGACUGAGACACGGCCCAGACUCCUACGGGAGGCAGCAGUGGGGAAUAUUGGGCAAUGGGCGAAACCCUGACGCA